Molecule: ribosomal RNA, 292 nt
Filed under: uncultured bacterium
Lineage: Bacteria
Description: partial 16S ribosomal RNA
Rfam family: Bacterial small subunit ribosomal RNA
Source: RNAcentral
GUGUCAGCCGCCGCGGUAAUACGUAGGAUGCAAGCGUUGUCCGGAUUUACUGGGCGUAAAGAGCGCGCAGGUGGUUUGAUAAGUUGGAUGUGAAAGCCCCUGGCUUAACUAGGGUAGGUCGUUCAAAACUAUCAGACUUGAGUGCAGCAGAGGAAAGUGGAAUUCCCGGUGUAGUGGUGAAAUGCGUAGAUAUCGGGAGGAACACCAGUGGCGAAAGCGGCUUUCUGGGCUGUAACUGACGCUGAGGCGCGAAAGCGUGGGGAGCGAACCGGAUUAGAAACCCCGGUAGUCC